Molecule: ribosomal RNA, 504 nt
Filed under: uncultured bacterium
Lineage: Bacteria
Description: partial 16S ribosomal RNA
Rfam family: Bacterial small subunit ribosomal RNA
Source: RNAcentral
AUUGAACGCUGGCGGCAGGCCUAACACAUGCAAGUCGGACGGUAGCACAGAGAGCUUGCUCUCGGGUGACGAGUGGCGGACGGGUGAGUAAUGUCUGGGGAUCUGCCCGAUAGAGGGGGAUAACCACUGGAAACGGUGGCUAAUACCGCAUAACGUCGCAAGACCAAAGAGGGGGACAUUCGGGCCUCUCACUAUCGGAUGAACCCAGAUGGGAUUAGCUAGUAGGCGGGGUAAUGGCCCACCUAGGCGACGAUCCCUAGCUGGUCUGAGAGGAUGACCAGCCACACUGGAACUGAGACACGGUCCAGACUCCUACGGGAGGCAGCAGUGGGGAAUAUUGCACAAUGGGCGCAAGCCUGAUGCAGCCAUGCCGCGUGUAUGAAGAAGGCCUUCGGGUUGUAAAGUACUUUCAGCGGGGAGGAAGGCGGUGCGGUUAAUAACCGCGCCGAUUGACGUUACCCGCAGAAGAAGCACCGGCUAACUCCGUGCCAGCAGCCGCCGCCG